This 119-nucleotide ribosomal RNA is filed under the name Myotis lucifugus (little brown bat). The record is from RNAcentral. Lineage: Eukaryota; Metazoa; Chordata; Mammalia; Chiroptera; Vespertilionidae.
GCCGCCUGCAUCUUCCACCCUGAACGCGCCCCAUCUCCGCUGAUCUGGCAGCUCAGCAGGGUCGGGCCUGGUUAGGGCUUGGAUGGGAGCCGGCUUGGGAGUACCGGGUGCCGGAGGCU